CCUACGGGUGGCAGCAGUGGGGAAUAUUGGUCAAUGGGCGCAAGCCUGAACCAGCCAAGUCGCGUGAGGGAUGACGGUCCUAUGGAUUGUAAACCUCUUUUGUCGGGGAGCAAGGCCCGCCACGUGUGGCGUGCCGGAUAGUACCCGCCGACAAAGCAUCGGCUAACUCCGUGCCAGCAGCCGCGGUAAUACGGAGGAUGCGAGCGUUCUCCGGCGUUAUUGGGUUUACAGGGUGCGUAGGCGGAAGGUUAAGUCAGCGGUAAAAGGUCGGUGCUCAACACCGGCCUGCCGUUGAGACUGGUAGGCUUGAGUGAGCGAGAAGUAGGCGGAAUGCGUGGUGUAGCGGUGAAAUGCAUAGAUAUCACGCAGAACUCCGAUUGCGAAGGCAGCAUACCGGCGCGCAACUGACGCUGAGGCACGAAAGCGUGGGGAUCGAACAGGAUUAGAUACCCCGGUAGUC
This 460-nucleotide ribosomal RNA is filed under the name uncultured bacterium. RNAcentral's name for it is "partial 16S ribosomal RNA". It matches the Rfam family "Bacterial small subunit ribosomal RNA", at positions 338 to 795 of the family's 1533-position model. The record is from RNAcentral.